GGAGAAAUGGCUCAGUGGUAAGAGCACUGUUCUUACAGAGAACCCUGGGUUCAAUUCCCAGCAUCUACA
RNAcentral lists this transfer RNA (69 nucleotides) under Rattus norvegicus (Norway rat). It matches the Rfam family "tRNA". Rfam says of the family: Transfer RNA (tRNA) molecules are approximately 80 nucleotides in length. Their secondary structure includes four short double-helical elements and three loops (D, anti-codon, and T loops). Lineage: Eukaryota; Metazoa; Chordata; Mammalia; Rodentia; Muridae. The record is from Rfam by way of RNAcentral.